UACGUAGGGGGCAAGCGUUGUCCGGAUUUAUUGGGCGUAAAGAGCGUGUAGGCGGUUAGGUAGGUCCGUUGUGAAAACUCGAGGCUCAACCUCGAGACGCCGAUGGAAACCAUCUAACUAGAGUCCGGAAGAGGAGAGUGGAAUUCCUGGUGUAGCGGUGAAAUGCGCAGAUAUCAGGAAGAACACCCGUGGCUAAGGCGGCUCUCUGGGCAUUACCUGACGCUGAGGAGUGAAAAUGUGGGGAGCGAACAGG
This 253-nucleotide ribosomal RNA is filed under the name uncultured bacterium. Its description in RNAcentral is "partial 16S ribosomal RNA". It matches the Rfam family "Bacterial small subunit ribosomal RNA", at positions 524 to 776 of the family's 1533-position model. The record is from RNAcentral.